This 468-nucleotide ribosomal RNA is filed under the name uncultured bacterium. RNAcentral describes it as "partial 16S ribosomal RNA". It matches the Rfam family "Bacterial small subunit ribosomal RNA", at positions 28 to 507 of the family's 1533-position model. The record is from RNAcentral.
GACGAACGCUGGCGGCGUGCUUAACACAUGCAAGUCGAACGGAAAGGCCCUGCUUUUGUGGGGUGCUCGAGUGGCGAGCGGGUGAGUAACACGUGAGUAACCUGCCCUUGACUUUGGGAUAACUUCAGGAAACUGGGGCUAAUACACGAUAGGAGCUCCUGCUGCAUGGUGGGGGCUGGAAAGUUUCGGCGGUUGGGGAUGGACUCGCGGCUUAUCAGCUUGUUGGUGGGGUAGUGGCUUACCAAGGCUUUGACGGGUAGCCGGCCUGAGAGGGUGACCGGCCACAUUGGGACUGAGAUACGGCCCAGACUCCUACGGGAGGCAGCAGUGGGGAAUAUUGCACAAUGGGCGGAAGCCUGAUGCAGGAACGCCGCGUGCGGGAUGACGGCCUUCGGGUUGUAAACCGCUUUCGCCUGUGACGAAGCGUGAGUGACGGUAAUGGGUAAAGAAGCACCGGCUAACUACGUG